GGAGAAAAAAAAUACAUAGCUUUUUACAUGUGCAUUACAUUUUCUUACAUUACUACAUCAAUUGCACACAGAAAUACUACAAAUUUUGAAGCAUAUGCAUGUUCCUUCUUAUGCUGGUUUAUUGGCCAUUGACACCUUAUGAUUAAGUUGAGUGUUAGAGAAAAAUAAAUAAAUAAAAACAACUAGUUGCUAAACAAGGCCCAGCAUUCCCUCUGGAACUCCAUCCACCCCAAAGGACAUUCAUCAGCUGAACAGACUCUUACAUAACGCCUUCACCAUGCUGCCCAUGUUGGAUUAUCCCUACAGCAAUCAUUUCAUGGGCAGCAUGCCAGCCUUCCCUGUGAAGGUGGCGUGUGAAACCAUGCUGAAUGGCACUGAUCUUCUGUCGGCAGUCAGAGCUUCUGUUGGUAAACGACAGCAGCUUUGUACAAAUUAGAUUUUCUUUUUCAUUUUAUAUCCCUCUGGUCCUGGCAUGGAAAGUCUUCAGAAUUAAUUUUGUGCCGGCCCACAGGCAUUGUGUAUAAUUCCACUGGACAGCUCCCAUGUUAUAACCUCUACAGUCUCUAAGUAGUGUCCCGAUCCCACCGGCUGUGGCCUUGGCUUUGACAGCUAUGCUUGGGAUUACCAGAUCUCACCACCGCAAGCAAUAUCAUAUUUUCCAAUGGUGAUCUUGAUCCUUUGGCUAAUUGAGGGGAAUUAUUUUCACCUGUAGAUCAGGAAGACACUCAGUCCAUCACUGAUUGCAAUCAACAUACCAGAGGGAGCUCAUCGUCUGGAUUUAAAGAAGUCUAACCCUGCUGAUCCUCAGUCUGUGAUUGUGGCUCAGAAGAAGGAAUAUGAAAUCAUUGCUCAGUGGGUGAAGGCAGAAAGAAAGUCAUUAUGAGUUCAUUUUUGUGAACAAUUUAUUUCAACAUUGUAAACUUGUUAAAUAUUGAAUAAAUCAAUUUAUUUUCCACAGAAA
Long non-coding RNA from Carassius gibelio (silver crucian carp), 961 nucleotides. RefSeq lists it as uncharacterized. The transcript is spliced from 5 exons. NCBI's taxonomy places the organism in Eukaryota, Metazoa, Chordata, Actinopteri, Cypriniformes, Cyprinidae. The record is from RefSeq and is a predicted model, not a curated record.